UUGCCUACGGGAGGCAGCAGUGGGGAAUAUUGCACAAUGGGGGAAACCCUGAUGCAGCGACGCCGCGUGAGCGAAGAAGUAUUUCGGUAUGUAAAGCUCUAACAGCAGGGAAGAAAAAAAUGACGGUACCUGAGUAAGAAGCGCCGGCUAAAUACGUGCCAGCAGCCGCGGUAAUACGUAUGGUGCAAGCGUUAUCCGGAUUUACUGGGUGUAAAGGGAGCGUAGGCGGCGCGUUAAGUCUGAUGUGAAAGCCCGGGGCUCAACCCCGGGACUGCUUUGGAAACUGUAUUGCUGGAGUGCUGGAG
RNAcentral lists this ribosomal RNA (305 nucleotides) under uncultured bacterium. RNAcentral's name for it is "bacterial SSU rRNA". It matches the Rfam family "Bacterial small subunit ribosomal RNA", at positions 335 to 654 of the family's 1533-position model. The record is from RNAcentral.